This 373-nucleotide ribosomal RNA is filed under the name uncultured bacterium. RNAcentral's name for it is "bacterial SSU rRNA". It matches the Rfam family "Bacterial small subunit ribosomal RNA", at positions 29 to 431 of the family's 1533-position model. The record is from RNAcentral.
AGCGAACGCUGGCGGCAGGCUUAACACAUGCAAGUCGAACGGAUCCUUCGGGAUCAGUGGCAGACGGGUGAGUAACACGUGGGAACGUGCCUUUUGGUUCGGAACAACUCAGGGAAACUUGAGCUAAUACCGGAUGUGCCCUUCGGGGAAAGAUUUAUCGCCAUUAGAGCGGCCCGCGUCUGAUUAGCUAGUUGGUGAGGUAAAGGCUCACCAAGGCUUCGAUCAGUAGCUGGUCUGAGAGGAUGAUCAGCCACACUGGGACUGAGACACGGCCCAGACUCCUACGGGAGGCAGCAGUGGGGAAUCUUGCGCAAUGGGCGAAAGCCUGACGCAGCCACGCCGCGUGAGUGAAGAAGGCCUCGGUUGUAAGUAC